Molecule: ribosomal RNA, 460 nt
Filed under: uncultured bacterium
Lineage: Bacteria
Description: partial 16S ribosomal RNA
Rfam family: Bacterial small subunit ribosomal RNA
Source: RNAcentral
CCUACGGGAGGCAGCAGUGAGGAAUAUUGGUCAAUGGACGCAAGCCUGAACCAGCCAUGCCGCGUGCAGGAAGACGGCUCUAUGAGUUGUAAACUGCUUUUGUACGAGGGUAAACGCAGAUACGCGUAUCUGUCUGAAAGUAUCGUACGAAUAAGGAUCGGCUAACUCCGUGCCAGCAGCCGCGGUAAUACGGAGGAUUCAAGCGUUAUCCGGAUUUAUUGGGUUUAAAGGGUGCGUAGGCGGUCGGAUAAGUUAGAGGUGAAAUCCCGAGGCUCAACUUCGGAAUUGCCUCGGAUACUGGUCGGCUAGAGUGUAGUAGCGGUAGGCGGAAUGUAUGGUGUAGCGGUGAAAUGCUUAGAGAUCAUACAGAACACCGAUUGCGAAGGCAGCUUACCAGGCAACUACUGACGUUGAGGCACGAAAGCGUGGGGAGCAAACAGGAUUAGAUACCCGGGUAGUC